CAGUAGCCGCGGGAAUACGUAGGUGGCAAGCGUUGUCCGGAAUUAUUGGGCGUAAAGGGCCCGCAGGCGGUUUCUUAAGUCUGAUGUGAAAGCCCCCGGCUCAACCGGGGAGGGUCAUUGGAAACUGGGAAACUUGAGUGCAGAAGAGGAGAGUGGAAUUCCACGUGUAGCGGUGAAAUGCGUAGAGAUGUGGAGGAACACCAGUGGCGAAGGCGACUCUCUGGUCUGUAACUGACGCUGAGGAGCGGAAGCGUGGGGAGCGAACAGGAUUAGAUACCCCUGUAGUCCCUGUCUCUUAUAC
Molecule: ribosomal RNA, 301 nt
Filed under: uncultured bacterium
Lineage: Bacteria
Description: partial 16S ribosomal RNA
Rfam family: Bacterial small subunit ribosomal RNA
Source: RNAcentral